This is a long non-coding RNA of Perognathus longimembris pacificus (Pacific pocket mouse), 789 nucleotides long. RefSeq lists it as uncharacterized. The record is from RefSeq and is a predicted model, not a curated record. Lineage: Eukaryota; Metazoa; Chordata; Mammalia; Rodentia; Heteromyidae. The transcript is spliced from 2 exons.
AGGUCUGCUAGUGGAUGACAUGCAGGAAUCACCAUACCCAAUUUCAGAAUCAGCAAAAAGAAACCAGAUCAAGGAUACCCCUGGAAGUUUGAACUCUGGUGACUUGAUUCCAGAGCUUCAGAUAUUUCCUUAUUGAGAAGAGCAUUGAAUUGGAAAGCUCCAGAAGAUGAGAACUGGCUGACAAACUGGCUGUCAGGUCUAGAUGGAAGAAAGAAGCUGAUCAAUCCAGAAGUGCUUGUUGGAGGUGUGGCUCAAGUGGGAAAGGUGGCAACUAGAAUGUACAUGGACUUUCUUAGAAAGGCUACUAAUAUGUCUAACAUCAGUUUGUCAGUUGCCAGAAGUAAGUGCUCAGCUGACUGUCUUAAUAACUUUGUUUAUCUUAAAGGCAUGAGAAUGCAUGACAGAAUCAUAUGGUGGGCAAGGUAUUGUUUACAACCAAGAUGCCUAUAGAUGUGGAAUGGGUUACAUUUUCAGUACCAGAACCACCUUGCAGGGUCACAUCAGAAGCAGGAAGCCUGAACAAACAGCUUUUCCAAAAGGAGAAAUAACAGUUAAGGAUGGUGAGGAAGGCAGAAAACUUUGAAAGACUAGCAGAUGAUAGAGACAAUUUAGGAAGUACCAGUGAAUUUGACUAAGAAAUUUUGUCUGUGAAAAGGGAUUCUGAGGACCGAAGAGAACAUUUAAUAUAAUCUCAGUGUUGUUUGUAAUGAGAUUUGUGGGUUGGAAUGUAGCUCAGUGGCAAAGCACUUGCCAAGUAAAUACAGUGUCCUGGGUUUGAUAUCCAGUACC